GCCUCUUUAGCUCAGUUGGUAGAGCGACGCUCUCGUAAAGCGUAGGUCGCCGGUUCAAGUCCGGUGAGAGGCU
Molecule: transfer RNA, 73 nt
Filed under: Roseihalotalea indica
Lineage: Bacteria; Pseudomonadati; Bacteroidota; Cytophagia; Cytophagales; Catalimonadaceae
Description: tRNA-Thr
Rfam family: tRNA
About the family: Transfer RNA (tRNA) molecules are approximately 80 nucleotides in length. Their secondary structure includes four short double-helical elements and three loops (D, anti-codon, and T loops).
Source: RNAcentral